This 37365-nucleotide long non-coding RNA is filed under the name Cucumis sativus (cucumber). RNAcentral describes it as "long non-coding RNA (CSAT_LNC002983)". The record is from RNAcentral. Lineage: Eukaryota; Viridiplantae; Streptophyta; Magnoliopsida; Cucurbitales; Cucurbitaceae.
GUAUCUCAAACUUCUACACUUAUACCCAAGAUCCUACAUACUUUCCACGAUUCUAUCCUCGGGGGACAUUCUGGAUUUUUAAGAACUUACAAGAGGAUCAGUGGAGAACUAUAUUGGAGGGGUAUGAAGGCUGAAAUAAAGAAAUAUGUGGAACAAUGCGAGAUCUGCCAGAGAAACAAAUACGAAGCAACCAAACCAGCUGGGGUACUUCAACCAAUUCCAAUUCCUGACAGAAUCUUAGAAGAUUGGACCAUGGACUUUAUUGAGGGGUUGCCACUAGCUGGAGGGGUUAAUGUGAUCAUGGUGGUAGUUGAUCGGCUGAGUAAGUAUUCUUACUUUAUAUCAUUGAGACAUCCGUUUUCAGCCAAGCAAGUUGCUUCCAUAUUCAUCGACAGAAUAGUAAGCAAGCACGGCAUUCCUAAGUCGAUUAUCACAGAUCGGGAUAAAAUCUUUCUUAGUAAUUUUUGGAAGGAACUGUUUGCAACCAUGGGAACUAUUCUAAAGAGGAGUACCGCGUUUCACCCACAAACUGAUGGGCAGACAGAAAGGGUAAAUAGAUGUCUCGAAACUUAUCUGCGAUGCUUCUGUAAUGAACAACCAAAAAAAUGGGAUAGACUGAUUCCAUGGGCAGAAUUGUGGUAUAAUACCACCUUCCAUGCAUCCACCAAAAUGACCCCUUUCCAGACGGUAUACCGCAGACCGCCUCCUCCCCUGUUAUCCUAUGGUUACAAGAAAACUCCUAAUAAUGAGGUUGACACGCUGCUGAAGGAACGUGACUUAGCCAUCAAUGCCUUAAAAGAACACCUGUGUGUAGCCUAGAACAGGAUGAAGAAAAUGGCUGAUCGAAAUAGAAGAGAGUUAAAAUUUAAGGUAGGAGAUGAAGUCUACUUGAAAUUGAGACCUUACCGGCAACGCUCCUUGGCUCGGAAGAAGUGUGAAAAGUUAGCACCUAAAUAUUACGGACCCUACAAAAUUACUGAAGAAAUAGGAGCAGUUGCGUACAGAUUGAUGUUACCGCCGGAAGCCAGUAUCCACAAUGUGUUCCAUAUUUCUCAGUUAAAACUGAAACUGGGUAGUCAACAAGCUGUUCAACACCAGCAACCUAGGCUAACGGAAGAGUUUGAGUUACAAUUAUGGCCGGAAACAGUGUUGGGAGUCCGUUGGAAUCGGGAAUUGGGAGGAAAUGAAUGGUUAAUUAAGUGGAAAGGGCUGCCGGACAGUGAAACAACUUGGGAAUCUGUUUUCCAAAUGAACCAACAAUUCCCUGACUUUCACCUUGAGGACAAGGUGAACCUGGAACCGAGGGGUAUUGUAAGGCCCCCUAUUAUCCAUACAUACAAAAGGAGGGGUAAAAACGUAAAAGCUCACGCAGCAGAAAAGGGGAGAAUAUUAGGAAAAGAACAUGAGAGUGGGGCCCACGGGGAAGAAUGAGAAAAGAGCUAUAAAUAAGGCCUUAUCGGGAUUGGGGGCUAGGUUAACUUUUUGUCUUCAUUUGGUCUGUAGAGGCUGCUAGGUCUAGGAAGGACUACUAUCUUUUCCUGGGGAGGUUUGACAUGAUAUUAUCAUCUUUAUUGCUUUCUUUUAUUUCCUUCUACUGUAUCUUUUGGCAUUUAUAUAUAAAUAAAGAUCUACAGAGUGCUGUCUCUGUUUGCCAACUGUUUGGGUAAUUUAGUAUUUUAUUUGUGGAGUCUCUACAAAAUUAUAGCAAUUCAUUGCAAAUAAGAUGCAGUACCUUGAUUUUAUGGUUAAAGGUUCCAAUUGUUUUUUCUUUUUAAGCUCUUAUUUAGAAGGAUUCACCUGUUACAAGUUGAAAUGUGUUGGAAAAAUUGGACAAGAAGUUAUAACCUUACAAGAAAAUGAUCCUUAUAGAAAGAACUAACUUGAUUCAAGCAAAAUAUCUUCAAGAACAAAAUUGCAAUUACACGAACACUUAUUAACACAAAUAAAAAAUGCAAAUCAGACUAUUGAGUACAAUGAAAUACAACAUGAUAACAAGACAGAGAUGCAACAUAUACAUAAACAUACAAAUCAGAAAAGAAGUUGAUUCUUGACAACAAAGUAAAAUAAAUACAAAACAUAAUAAAUUUCUAUGACCAUUAGGACUCUGUAGAGAAAUGCCUACUUUCGACAUAAGCAUUUCAUCAAAUUCCAUCUAAAGCGGAGAGGUUGCCCAUGCAAGCUCUGAUACCAGGCAAUCUCGACGCGCAUUUUACUUUACCUAAGCAGCUGGCUUGACUCCCUCUUUUUUUUCUCCCUCCCUCUCUACCGGCUGCCGUGCUAGGUGAAGAACUAAAGGACCUACUAGGCGGGGUCGGGUUUUGCUUAGGCAAGAAAAGCGGAGAGGAUCCCCACGAAAACUCUGAAACCGGGGAUCUCGGCACGCAUUUUACUUGACCUAAGCGGCUGGCUUGGCUCCCUCUUUUUUUUCUCUCUCCCUCUCUACAGGCUGCCAUGCUGAGUGAAGAACUCUAAGAACCUACUAGGCGGGUCGGGUUUUGCUUAGGCAAGAAAAGCGGAGAGAAUCCCCACGAAAAUUCUGAAACCGGGGAUCUCGGCGCGCAUUUUACUUGACCUAAGCGGCUGGCUUGGCUCCCUCUUUUUUUUUCUCUCCCUCUCUACCGGCUGCCAUGAUGGGUGAAGAACUCUAAGAACCUACUAGGCGGGUCGGGUUUUGCUUAGGCAAGAAAAGCGGAGAGGAUCCCCACGAAAAUUCUGAAACCGGGGGAUCUCGGCGCGCAUUUUACUUGACCUAAGCGGCUGGCUUGGCUCCCUCUUUUUUUUCUCUCUCCCUCUCUACCGGCUGCCAUGAUGGGUGAAAACUCUAAGACCUACUAGGCGGGUCGGUUUUGCUUAGGCAAGAAAAGCGGAGAGGAUCCCCACGAAAAUUCUGAAACCGGGGGAUCUCGGCGCGCAUUUUACUUGACCUAAGCGGCUGGCUUGGCUCCCUCUUUUUUUUCUCUCUCCCUCUCUACCGGCUGCCAUGCUGGGUGAAAAACUCUAAGGACCUACUAGGCGGGUCGGGUUUUGCUUAGGCAAGAAAAGCGGAGAGGAUCCCCACGAAAAUUCUGAAACCGGGGGAUCUCGGCGCGCAUUUUACUUGACCUAAGCGGCUGGCUUGGCUCCCUCUUUUUUUUCUCUCUCCCUCCUACCGGCUGCCAUGCUGGGUGAAAACUCUAAGGACCUACUAGGCGGGUCGGGUUUUGCUUAGGCAAGAAAAGCGGAGAGGAUCCCCACGAAAAUUCUGAAACCGGGGAUCUCGGCGCGCAUUUUACUUGACCUAAGCGGCUGGCUUGGCUCCCUCUUUUUUUCUCUCUCCCUCUCUACCGGCUGCCAUGCUGGGUGAAAAACUCUAAGGACCUACUAGGCGGGUCGGGUUUUGCUUAGGCAAGAAAAGCGGAGAGGAUCCCCACGAAAAUUCUGAAACCGGGGAUCUCGGCGCGCAUUUUACUUGACCUAAGCGGCUGGCUUGGCUCCCUCUUUUUUUUCUCUCCCCUCUCUACCGGCUGCCAUGCUGGGUGAAAAACUCUAAGGACCUACUAGGCGGGUCGGGUUUUGCUUAGGCAAGAAAAGCGGAGAGGAUCCCCACGAAAAUUCUGAAACCGGGGGAUCUCGGCGCGCAUUUUACUUGACCUAAGCGGCUGGCUUGGCUCCCUCUUUUUUUUUCUCUCCCCUCUCUACCGGCUGCCAUGCUGGGUGAAAAACUCUAAGGACCUACUAGGCGGGUCGGGUUUUGCUUAGGCAAGAAAAGCGGAGAGGAUCCCCACGAAAAUUCUGAAACCGGGGGAUCUCGGCGCGCAUUUUACUUGACCUAAGCGGCUGGCUUGGCUCCCUCUUUUUUUUUCUCUCCCCUCUACCGGCUGCCAUGAUGGGUGAAGAACUCUAAGGACCUACUAGGCGGGUCGGGUUUUGCUUAGGCAAGAAAAGCGGAGAGGAUCCCCACGAAAAUUCUGAAACCGGGGGAUCUCGGCGCGCAUUUUACUUGACCUAAGCGGCUGGCUUGGCUCCCUCUUUUUUUUCUCUCUCCCUCUCUACCGGCUGCCAUGCUGGGUGAAAAACUCUAAGGACCUACUAGGCGGGUCGGGUUUUGCUUAGGCAAGAAAAGCGGAGAGGAUCCCCACGAAAAUUCUGAAACCGGGGGAUCUCGGCGCGCAUUUUACUUGACCUAAGCGGCUGGCUUGGCUCCCUCUUUUUUUUCUCUCCCUCUCUACCGGCUGCCAUGAUGGGUGAAAAACUCUAAGGACCUACUAGGGGGUCGGGUUUUGCUUAGGCAAGAAAAGCGGAGAGGAUCCCCACGAAAAUUCUGAAACCGGGGGAUCUCGGCGCGCAUUUUACUUGACCUAAGCGGCUGCUUGGCUCCCUCUUUUUUUUCUCUCACCCUCUCUACCGCUGCCAUGCUGGGUGAAAAACUCAGAAGAAUAGUUCUUGCAAUGGUAAAGCUCCUAACCCCGAUCAGGAAACCCAUGAAAGAGCAGACUCAACGGAUAAGUCUUCAUCAACCCUAUCUAGCUGCUGAGUCAGAGUACGAGGGCUAGGCCCAGGCAAAGGCGAGACCAGUAGCAGCUCUUUCUUCAGUUUCAGUUGUUGUCGUUGAGUCAAGCUAUUUAUUCUCUCAAAAUGUAGAUUUAGAAGCUGCCCAUAAAUUUACCUGAAACCCUAUCUCUUCCUUCGACUUCUACUGAAUUUCGACUUCUACUUUCUGAAGUGAAUCCCCUCCACAAAGGUACCGCCCGGAAGUUGCUCCAUUUCAAUCUACUAAGAUCCCAGAUGCAAAGACGGUUCUUUCCCCCCGAAAUGGAAUGGAGGCUAAAAGCUUGAUAAAGUCCGACGGAAUAUACAAAGGGAUAAUAAGAUAAGAGUCCAAGAAAGCGCCAAGAAUUGGAAGCAGGACCUACUAGGCGGGUCGGGUUUUGCUUAGGCAAGAAAAGCGGAGAGGAUCCCCACGAAAAUUCUGAAACCGGGGGAUCUCGACGCGCAUUUUACAUGACCUAAGCGGCUGCCUUGGCUCCCUCUUUGUUUUCUCUCACCCUCACUACCGGCUGCCAUGAUGGGUGAAGAACUCUAAGGACCUACUAGGCGGGGUCGGGUUUUGCUUAGGCAAGAAAAGCGGAGAGGAUCCCCACGAAAUAUUCUGAAACGGGGAUCUCGACGCGCAUUUUACUUGACCUAAGCGGCUGGCUUGGCUCCCUCUUUUUUUCUCUCUCCCUCUCUACCGGCUGCAUGCUGGGUGAAAACCUCUAAGGACCUACUAGGCGGGUCGGGUUUUGCCUAGGCAAGAAAAGCGGAGAGGAUCCCCACGAAAUUCUGAAACCGGGGGAUCUCGGCGAGCAUUUUACUUGACCUAAGCGGCUGGCUUGGCUCCCUCUUUUUUUUCUCUCCCCUCUCUACGGCUGCCAUGCUGGGUGAAAAACUCUAAGGACUACUAGGGGGGUCGGGUUUUGCUUAGGCAAGAAAAGCGGAGAGGAUCCCACGAAAAAUUCUGAAACCGGGGGAUCUCGGCGCGCAUUUUACUUGACCUAAGCGGCUGCCUUGGCUCCCUCUUUUUUUUCUCUCACCCUCUCUACCGGCUGCAAUGCUGGGUGAAAAACUCUAAGGACCUACUAGGCGGGUCGGGUUUUGCUUAGGCAAGAAAAGCGGAGAGGAUCCCACGAAAAUUCUGAAACCGGGGGAUCUCGGCGCGCAUUUUACUUGACCUAAGCGGCUGCCUUGGCUCCCUCUUUGUUUUCUCUCACCCUCUCUACGGCUGCAAUGCUGGGUGAAAAACUCUAAGGACCUACUAGGCGGGUCGGGUUUUGCUUAGGCAAGAAAAGCGGAGAGGAUCCCCACGAAAAUUCUGAAACCGGGGGAUCUCGGCGCGCAUUUUACUUGACCUAAGCGCUGCCUUGGCUCCCUCUUUGUUUUCUCUCACCUUCUCUACCGGCUGCCAUGCUGGGUGAAAAACUCUAAGGACCUACUAGGCGGGUCGGGUUUUCCUUAGGCAAGAAAAGCGGAAGGAUCCCACGAAAAUUCUGAAACCGGGGGAUCUCGGUCCGCAUUUUACUUGACCUAAGCGGCUGGCUUGGCUCCCUCUUUUUUUUCUCUCUCCCUCUCUCCCGGCUGCCAUGCUGGGUGAAGAACUCUAGUGACCCACUAGGCGGGGGUCAGGUUCUGCAACUCUAAGCAGCUUGGUCGUAUUGCUUUGUUUUUAUCGGCUGUUAUGUUGGGUGAAGAACUCUAAGAACUUGCUGACUUUGCUUUCUACUUGACCUAACAAUCUUAUUUUGCUUUCAAACAAUCUUAUACAAAUGUGUAUUGCCAAAAGAGGGAUUUAAAAUUAAUAUAAAAAAGGCAGUAGAAGAUGGCAAAAAAGGGGAUUAAAAUUGAGAUAAAAAAGGCAACCGCACAUAUUAUUAUGUACAUAAUUCACAAUAUUCAGAAAAUGAACCAAGUGUUCUACUCAUUUCUAAGCUAUCAGUAUAUGCAUUUUCAACAUAUGUAACAUAUUCAACUAACAAAUACAAUCACAAAUCCGAGCUCUGUUCUCAUGGGUUAGGCAUAUAUGCUUUUUUAUGCUAAAAAGCGAAGUAGACAUGGUACUUAUUCUAAGCAUAGAGCAUUGCAAAAGUUUCUAAAUUUUGACAUUUUAGAAAAAUUUGCAAAAUGAAAAUUUCCCAAAGGACAUGGAAUGUGCAAGGCUACAACCCACCCCCCACUUAAAAAUUUGCAUUGUCCUUAAAGCAUUUUAAGCAAGAUUCUACGGAUGGAAAGAAAAAAAAGGAGAACAGAAGACUCCCCUUGUAACCUAGUUUCUUCAUGGAAGCUUGCUUGCAAAGAUCCAAGUUUGGUUAUAUUUCAUUUUCCUUUAUUCCUACAAAAAGAAAACAAGAAUUUCCUUUCGAAUUUUAUUAAAGAGGUUAAACUAAAAAUUUUAGAAAAAUGUGCAGAAUUGUUUAAGCUUGGUUGCAUUUUCUAAGCAUCACUUGAAUUUAUUAAAACGACCUAACAAAUAUUCAAUACAAGUUCGUAAUUCAUAACCUACCAAAAGUUCAAAAAGAUUGUUGUAAAUUACAUACAUCAAUAAACUUACUUUCAACAUUCAUUUGGGGUAUUGUACGUUCAUAUUAAAAAGUUCAUUCAUGUGUGAUGCAAAGGCCCUUUUUAUGUAUCUAAAACUAAAAUCACGAAAAUCAUCGUGGACAUGCAGCACAACAAACUGAAUUUCCAUGGGAAGCCUUUUGCUAACAAAAUGGUUGACAAUAAUUACUCAGACAAGAGAGAAUGACUAUAAUUAAUUAACAGAAGUACAAAUCAAUAUAGGUGCACAACCACCAAGCCCCAACAAAAGGAACAAUAAAUUUCAAUAACAAAGAAAGGUAGUAUCAGGACUAUCCUUACUUGUUAUCGAAGAAGAUACCUUGGCUCCGGUAAGCCCAAUGCUCUGCCUUACAACGUUCAAUUACCUCAGUACUGCAGCGUUUCUUCAAAGUUUGGGAAUCUACCUAAAACAUAAAUAUAUAUUCCAACUUGAAAACCUCCAUGUCAGAAACUUUACUUUAUUUAUCAACACAGAUGCUAUGCAAGAAUUAGUUAGCAGAAAUACAACAUAAAUAGUAAUGAUAUUCUUGGGGAGGGGAUAAAAGCAUCUUUCAUCUUAGAAAUAAGCUUAGCAGUUAGCACUAACCUUUAUAUAAGAAGUUAACACCGGUUUGAUUGCUUCUUAAAGUUCAGCUACGAAAUCUGGUAAAGAGAAAGACCUAAUCCAUAAUGUUAAAGAGGAAAAGACCAAGUCAGAUUCCUUUAUUCAAACAGGUUAGUAUCACAUCUCCAAAGGAAAAAACUUACGGACCUCUACGACGAAUUUCCUUGAAUGAUGUAGCAGCACCUGAUUCUUCAAACACAGUUUCAUUUAUGCUGUGAAAAAUAAGAUUGAUAAAUAAACUUUCGGCUACAAUGAGCCACAUAAACAUAAAGCUGUGACAGGAAAACAAAAGCUAACAGAUAAUUAACUAUACAGUUUGUAAGCAAAAUACCAAAUAGCCCAUAAUCAAGAUCACAACUGAAGCAAACAAUAAUGUGUAGUUUAUCAUUUCCAACCAAAUAAUUCAAUAACAAAUAAGGUCAAAUGGCCAAAUAAUAUGUCCUUUCACAUAAAUAUUUACUCCUGAAUUUUUUGAAGGAUAAUGUUACCGCUUCUCUCCCACGUUUCACAAAAAUUCUUUUACAUAUUAUAUUUUUUUUACAUAUUCCUAUUGAAGAAUCUCAUUUGAGCAUUUGUGGUCAAUUUGACUUGAAAGAAACGGCCAAACUUUCAAUAAGAAAGAAGCAAGAUGGCCCAAUUACGAAAAUAAUACCAUGAAUACAAACCAUGAAGAAAUAGUAAAACAGUCAAUACAAGAAGAAAAAAGUUCACUUCAAAACGACCUAAAACAGUAUCACUUGAACAAAAUGUGUCUAAGUAUCACUCGAACUUUCAAAACGACCUAAAACAGCUUACGUUGAGAUUUGUAACUCAUAACCUACGAAAAAAGUUCAAAUAGUGUGAAAAAAGCACUACAAGACCCAAAAUGGCUACCAAGUGUGUAAUUGUAACAAACUUAGUUCAAACCAACCUAGAACGUGCUCAAAACGUGUCUAGGUAUUACUUGAGUUUUCAAAACGACCUAGCAAAUCCUAAAUGUAGGUUCGUAAUGAUCUACCAAAAAGGUUGAAAAAAGCAUUUCAAGACCAAAAAUGACAACCAAGUGCAACAAAAUCAAUCUAACCUAAAAUGUAUUCAAAACAUGUGUACGUAUCACUUAAACUUUCAAAACCACCAAACAAUGCUUAAGUGUAAGUUUGUAACUCACAACCUACCAAAUUUUCAAAAACUGUAAAAAAGCACUUCAAGACCCAAAAUGGCAACGAAGUAUGUAAGUGCAACGGACUUAGUUUCAAGCCAUCCUAAAAAGAGUGCAAAACGUGUCUAAGAUUUCAAACCGACCAAACAAUACUCAAGCGUAAGUUCGUAACUCACAACCUAAAAAAAUUUCAAAAAGUGUGAAAAAAAGUACUUCAAGACCCAACAUUUCAAUCCAAUGUGUAAGUGCAACAAACUUAGUUUCAAACCAACGCAAAAUGUGUUUAAAACGACCUAACAAUCGUUAAGUGUAAGUUCGUAACUCACAAACUAACAAAAAAAUCAAAAUGCGUGAAAAAUGCACUUUGAGACCUAAAAUGGCAACCAAGUAUGCAAGUGAAACAAACUUAGUCUUAAACAAAUCUAAAAAAAUUUCAAACCGUGUUUAAGUAUCACUUGAACUUUCAGAACGACCUAAGAAUGUUUAUUUGUAAAUUCAUCACUCAUAACCUACCAAAAAGUUCAAGAAGUAUGGAAAAAAAGGAAACACUACACGACCCAAAAUGGCAACCAAGUGCGCAAGUGCAACAAACUUAGUUCCAAACCAACCUAAAAAGUGGUCAAGGCGUGUCUAAGUAUCACUUGGACUUUCAAAACAACCUAACAAAGUUUAAGUGUAAGUUGGUAACCCAUAGCCUACCAAAAAGUUCAAAAAGUGUGAAAAGGGCACUUCAAGACCGAAAAUGGCAACCAAUUGGAUAAGGUCAACAAACUUAGUUUCAAACUAACCUAAACCGAGUUUAAAACGUGUCUAAGUAUCACUUGAACUUUCAAAAUGUCCUAAAACAGCUUACGUGUAGGAUCGUAACUCAUAACCUACGAAAAAAGUUCAAAUAUUGUGAAAAAAGCACUACAAUACCCAAAAUGGCAACCAAGUGUGUAAGUGCAACAAACUUAGUUCAAACCAACCUAAAAUGUGCUCAAAACGUGUCUAUGUAUUACUUGAGUUUUCAAAACGACCUAGCAAAUCCUAAGUGUAAGUUCGUAACUCAUAAUCUACCAAAAAGUUUGAAAAAAGCAUUUCAAGACCAAAAAUGACAACCAAGUGCAACAAACUCAAUCUAACCUAAAAUGUAUUCAAAACGUGUGUAACUAUCACUUGAAUUUUCAAAACAACCAAACAAUGCUUAAGGGUAAGUUUGUAACUCACAACCUACCAAAAUUUCAAAAAGUGUGAAAAAGGUACUUCAAGACCCAAAACGGCAACGAAGUAUGUAAGUGCAAUGAACUUAGUUUCAAGUUAUCUUAAAAAGAGUUCAAAAUGUGUCUAAGCUUUCAAACGGACCAAACAAUACUCAAGCGUAAGUUCGUGACUCACAACCUACCAAAAUUUCAAAAAGUGUGGAAAAAAGCACUUGGAGACCCAACAUGUCAAUCAAAUGUCUAAACAACUUAGUUCCAAACAAACACAAAAUGUGUUUGAAACGACCUAACAGUGCUUAAGUGUAAGUUCGUAACUCACAAACUAACAAAAAGUUCAAAAUGAGUGAAAAUGCACUUUGAGACCUAAAAUGGCAACCAAUUGUGCAAGUGAAACAAACUUAGUGUUAAACAAAUCUAAAAAAUGUGCUUAAAACUACUCUAAAGCACACACAAACACUCUCCAUCUCACUCUCUAUCUGCCCUGUUUCCAAUUUAAUCGGUAUUCAUUUGGGGUUAUUGUAGGUUCAUAUUUAGAAAUAGUCAUUCAUGUUGUGAUGCAAAAUCCCUUUUAUGUAUCUAAAACUAAAAUCACGAAAAUCAUCUUGGACAUGCAGCACAACAAACUAAAUUUCCACGGGAAGCCUUUGCUAACAAAAUGGUAGACAAUAAUUACUCAAACAAGAGAAGGACUAUAAUUAAUUAACAGAAGUACAAAUCAAUAUAGGUGCACAACCACCAAACAAGAGAGAAGGAACAAUAAACUUCAAUAACAAAAGAAAGGUAGUAUCAGGACUAUCCUUACUUGUUAUCGAAGAAGAUACCUUGGCUCCGGUAAGCCCAAUGCUCUGCCUUACAACGUUCAAUUACCUCAGUACUGCAGCGUUUCUUCAAAGUUUGGGAAUCUACCUAAAACAUAAAUAUAUAUUCCAACUUGAAAACCUCCAUGUCAGAAACUUUACUUUAUUUAUCAAACCAGAUGCUAUGCAAGAAUUAGUUAGCAGAAAUACAACAUAAAUAGUAAUGAUAUUCUUUGGGGAGGGGAUAAAAGCAUCUUUCAUCUUAGAAAUAAGCUUAGCAGUUAGCACUAACCUUUAUAUAAGAAGUUAACACCGGUUUGAUUGCUUCUUAAAGUUCACUACGAAAUCUGGUAAAGAGAAAGACCUAAUCCAUAAUGUUAAAGAGGAAAAGACCAAGUCAGAUUCCUUUAUUCAAACAGGUUAGUAUCACAGCACCAAAGGAAAAAACUUACGGAUCUCUACGACGAAUUUCCUUGAAUGAUGUAGCAGCAUUUGAUGCUUGAAACACGGUUUCAUUUAUGCUGUGAAAAAUAAGAUCGAUAAAUAAAACUUUUGGCUACAAUUAGCCACAGAAACAUAAAGCUGUGACAGGAAAACAAAAGCUAACAGAUAAUUAACUAUACAGUUUGUAGGCAAAAUACCAAAUAGCCCAUAAUCAAGAUCACAACUCAAGCAGACAAUAAUGUGUAGUUUAUCAUUUCCAUCCAAAUAAUUCAAUCAUAAAUAAGGUCAAAUGGCCAAAUAAUAUGGCCUUUCACAUAAAUACUUACUCCUGAAUUUUUUGAACGAUAAUGUUAUCGCUUCUCUCCCACGUUUCACGAAGGCCCUCAGCCAUCUGCCAAUUCCAAUAUAAGAAAAUUAUUUUACAUAUUAUAUUAAACAUUGAAAAUUCUUUUACAUAUUAUUUUUUUUUUAUGUAUUCCUAUUGAAGAAUCUCAUUUGAGCAUUUUGUGGUCAAUUUGACUUGACAGAAACAGCAGAACUUUCAAUUAGAAGGAAGCAAGAUGCCUAGUUUUUUGAACUGCGGUUUUUUUUUUUUUUUUUUGCUUUAACUUGCUGUAAAUUGGAGAUGUUUUCCAUAACUGCUUCGGCUUGGAGCCCUCUCUCUACUCCUUAUGUAAUUUCAAGAAAUAGAUAAAAUCCAAGUUAAACUAGAUAAGUGGAAAAGAUAUUGUCUCUUUAGUGGAGGUUGGGACACACUUUGUAAGUCGGUUUUUUCACAUAUACCUACACACUAUAUGUCUAUAUUCUUAAUGCCAGAAAAGAUGAUUCAUAAAGUGAUUAAUUGGAAGGUGGUGUCUUGUUCGCAAGAGGAUGGUGGAAUCGGCGUCGAUGUGUGCAACGUUAAAAAAAUGCAACCUUCUUGCUAAAUGGGGAUGGAGAUUUAUAAAUGAAAAGAAUUCCCUUUGGGCUAAAGUGGUGAAGAGUAUCCAUGGAGAAAGUUAAUUUGGAUGGCAUACUAAAGGAAUUGUCACUUGCAGUCUCCAUAGUCCCUGGAUUAGCAUUUCGAGAUGCUAGCUUCAAGUGGAUUCCUAGGCAUUGUUCAAGUUCGGUGAUGGUUGAAGAAUAGCAUUUUGGAAUGAUUUUUGGGCAGAUGUUGUUUCUUUUCAAGAUCGUUUAGAUUGUCUUUGAACUCUAAUAAUGGAGAUGUAAAGGAGUUUUGGGACUCUUCCACUACUUCAUGGGCUCUAAAUUUCAGGAGACUUCUAAAAGUUGAAGAAAUAGAUGAAUUUCAAGCCUCCCAAAAUAAAAGAACCUAGAAAUCAGAAUCAAAUGGGAGGUUUUUGGUUCAUUCAUUGGUCAAGCAUCUCUCCAUUGCCUCCCCAAUUGAAAAACAUUUAUACUCGACAAUUUGGAAGACAAAAAAGCCCUAGAAAGAGUGAAUAUCACGCUUUGGAGAAAGCGAAAUGGACUAUGAACUGUGCAGAAGUUUUGCAAAUGAAACCUUCCUCUCACAGUUUAUCUCCUAAUAUUUGUCCUUGUGUUUGCAUGCUUUAGAAGAUUUACAUCAUAUUUUCUUCUCCUGCUUACAUGAAAAGAAGUGUUGGUUUGACUUACUUGGCUAUCUUCAUUUGAAUUGGGUUUUCGACUAUAGAUUUAGGAGAACGCGGUCCAGCUUAUUUCAUGUCCCAUUCUCAAGAAGAAACCAAGAUUGAUUUGGUUAAAUGCAGUGAAGGCCAUUUUACCAGAAAUUUGGUUUGAACAUAAUCAGCUAACAUUUUAAAAUAAAGCUUCCUCUUGGACAACUCGAGUCGAAAUGGCUAGAAUCAAUGCUUCUUCUUGAUGCUCUCUUUCAAAAGACUUCAAAGAUUUCUCCAUACAAGAUAUAAGUCAUAAUUGGCCGACUUUCAUUUUUAAUUCUUAGUCCACUACUGUACUCUUAUUUUAUUUCUUUUGGAUUUCUAGUGGUCUUAAAUCUAUGUUGUAUAGUUAUUGGGCAGUUUGUAUGAUCUAUUCCAAACCUUGUCGUUGGUUUAGUCUUUUGGUUUAAGUCUCGAUAUGGUGAGAAUGCUAAGUAGGUGUCAACAUAGAUGAGAUGUCCUAGUGCACUCACUGAUCCUAGGGCUUCUUUGUAUUACCUUUUGUCUUGUCUAUUCAUUUUCAGCUUAAUGAAGAGGCUCCUUUCCUACUUCAAAAAAGAAAAAAAAGGUAAAUGUGUGAUUCUUAUAAAGUAAAUUAUCCUACAGAUUAAAAGUUUGAACUUAUUCCAAGUGCUUCACCAAAUCUUAAAUAUUUGAACCAACAGCACCAACUUUGCACAACACAACAAUGUAAAACACAUUAACUACUUUCUCUUUUAUGCACAUUAUAUAUCAAAUAAAAAUAUUAGAAGGGAAAAAAUGGAAAAAAAAAACAUACUAACAACGAUAAAAUAUAAUAAGCUUCAAUCGAAGAGAGAAGGUUUGAAGAACAUAAUUCAAAGGUUCCCAAAAUCAUAUCAUAAUUAGAAAGCCAAUACCAACACCAAUUCAAAGAGAACACCUAAUCUACCAUACAAAAGUCUAAAUAUAACUUUUUUUUUUAAUCUUGUGUUUUAGUGUAUGAUGCAAGUGAAGCAAAACAACAUUACAAUAUAAGAUCUUUUUACCCUGAUAUUUAAUAAUCAACUAAGAAAAAUUCGCAUUCAAAGUUGACCAAGAAUCCAAGACCUUCAAUAGGCAAAGAUAAUAUUCUCAACAUGGUAAUUGGAUGUGUUCCCUUUAGCAUAGUAUCUUAAAUAAUCACUUUUUGUUAUUUGAGAAAAACUCCAUUCUCUUAUUAAUGAAAAAGGACUUGAUAAUAGGCAAGUAUAAUUUAAUAGAAAUUCUAACUAAAGAGAACUAAUUAUAAAAGGAAAUAACGUCUAAAAAGAAUAAUUAAAAAAAUAACUAAGGCAACUAUACAAUACAAAUCUACACUUUGUAAUCACAACUUUCGAUCUUCCUUGUAUGGAGUAACAUUUUAAAGAGGCCGAACUAAGAUAGAUCUAAGCAAAAACUUCAUUCAUUGAUGGCCUAAGAAAGAUGGAUGGAAACCUUAUAAUGAUACAGGUAACAAACCUUUUCAAUUGAGGUUUAGAUGCAAAACAUGUAAUAUAGUUCAACAUUAUUUUGCCAAAGUUAGUCAUUAAACUCAAGCGAAUCAUAAAACAGAAAAAGAAUGUAGAUUUAAGAGGACUAUGUAAUAUAUCAACUAGGAAUGAAAUAGGCGAAGAUAAAAGCAAGUAUUAAGAACAAAAGCAUAACAAAAGAGGAAGGCCAGCUUACUAUUCAAAAAAGCAAAGGAGUUCCAUCACUUGCAAGAUAGCCUGUGGAACAUUGCUAUAGAACUAUCUUGGGAACUUUGGCAGAGUUGUGUUUGGAAAUUACAAUGAUGUUUAGCAAAAAUGUUUACAAUAAUAAAACUAUAACAUAAAUGUUUCAUAGUGUUGGAAGAAAUUUGUAAGGCCCCCUAUUAUCCAUACAUACAAAAGGAGGGGUAAAAACGUAAAAGCUCACGCAGCAGAAAAGGGGAGAAUAUUAGGAAAAGAACAUGAGAGUGGGGCCCACGGGGAAGAAUGAGAAAAGAGCUAUAAAUAGGCCUUAUCGGGAUUGGGGGCUAGGUUAACUUUUUGUCUUCAUUUGGUCUGUAGAGGCUGCUAGGUCUAGGAAGGACUACUAUCUUUUCCUGGGGAGGUUUGACAUGAUAUUAUCAUCUUUAUUGCUUUCUUUUAUAUUUCCUUCUACUGUAUCUCUUGGCAUUUAUAUAUAAAUAAAGAUCUACAGAGUGCUGUCUCUGUUUGCCAACUGUUUGGGUAAUUUAGUAUUUUAUGUGGAGUCUCUACAAUUGGUAUCAGAGCCCAAACGCUGGGGUGGUGACGCGACUGAUGGCGCAAAGGCAAAUAGAAGAAAGAAUAGAUGGAACCGAGAAAGAAAUACUGGGCUUGAAGGAAAUGAUUCUGGAAAUGAAGAAAUCCAUGGAUAGACUGGCUGAUGAAAUGAAAGAAAACAGCAGCUACAAAAGGCGAGAUGAAUCCGGAACUUCUGAUGGAUCAGUCAUGAAGUUAAAAGGAAAAUGGGAAGAAGCCGACAAUCCAGGGGAAAACAAUGUAGUAACUGUCGACCGAAGCAAAUAUAAGAAACUGGAAAUGCCGAUUUUCACCGGGGAAAAUCCUGAGUCAUGGGUGUUUAGAGCUGAGCAUUUUUUCGAAAUUAAUAGCCUACCGGAAGCAGAAAAAGUGAAAGUAGCAGUGGUUAGUUUCAGACAAGAUGAAAUCGAUUGGUACCGUUGGUAACCAUAGAAAGAAGGUGGAAGGAUGGGAAGAUUUGAAGGUAAGGAUGUUUGAAUUUUUUCGAGAUUCUGGGCAGAAGAGCUUAGGUGCAAGGCUGAUUCGAAUAGAACAAGAUGGAUCCUAUAAUGAUUAUGUCAAGAAAUUCGUACAAUAUUCUGCACCACUACGCACAUGGCUGAAAGCGUGCUCUUAGAUGCAUUCGUGACAGGUCUAGAACCGGCUCUUCAAGCAGAAGUUAUUAGUAGACAUCCUCAAACCUUAGAGGAAUGUAUGAAGGAGGCACAACUGGUAAGUGGCAGAAACCUAGCCUUGAAAUUAGCCAAGGCAGAAUGGGUAAACAGUGUGACUAGGGAAGGAGGAGGCUCAAGCAAGGGACAAAGCAGUCAAGAUAAAAGUUCACCAAAGAAGACUGAGUUCCCCAUGAAGCAAGUCACUAUUCCCAUUAAAGGAAACUACCAGAAAAAUGAACCUCCAGUUAAAAGACUCUUGGACACGGAAUUCAGAGCAAGAUUGGACAAGGGUUUGUGUUUUAGAUGCAAUGAGAAGUACUCACCGGGACACCGAUGCAAGAUGAGAGAGAAAAGGGAAUUAAUGUUAUUUAUACUUAACGAAGAAGAGAGUGGCGGGGAGGAAGUCAAAAUGGAAGAGACCGAAGAAGUAAUGGAGCUGAACCAGUUAGUUGUUGCUGAAACCACGAAAUUGAAUUGAAGACACUCACGGGGUUAACAUCCAAAGGGACAAUGAAACUGAAGGGGCAUGUAAAAGGAAGGGAGGUGGUGAUUCUCAUCGACAGUGGCAAUGGAAGGAGGGUUGAACAUUGAACCCGGUACACAAUUUGGAGUGACUAUUGGAGACGGGACCCGCUGUAAAGGGAAAGGUAUUUGCAGAAAGGUGGAACUGAGAUUGAAAGAAAUGACAGUUAUAACUGAUUUUCUAGUGGUGGAACUAGGAAAUAUUGACGUGAUUUUAGGGAUGCAAUGGCUAGAUACCACCGGCACAAUGAAGGUACAUUGGCCAUCAUUAACCAUGACCUUUUGGGCAAAAGACAAGCAAAUCGUGUUAAGAGGAGAUCCAUCCUUAGUGAAACCUGAAUGUUCUUUGAAGACAUUGGAAAAAACGUGGGAUAUAGUGUAAGACCUCCAGUUAUUCAUACAUAUCAAAGGAGGGGCAGAAAAGUAAUUGGACAAAUUAAUAAUGAGGAAGGAAAAAGAGGAGAUCGUGCAGGUGGGGCCCAGGCACAGAAAUAAGAGAAAGAUGAGAGAAGGAAUAUAAAUAGGUUUUUUAGGUCUAGGGGAGGUAGGUUUUAUUUUUAUCCUGAAGUUGGCGGCUGCUUAGCCUAGAGGAAUAUCCAGUCUUUCCCUAGAGGAAGCUGGGUUUGUCUUCAUUAUUCCUUGUUUUUCUUGAAUCUUUAUGUUUUUCUGUACUCAUUUUGGCUAUAUAUAAAUAAAGAUAGCAGAGGGCUACCUCUGUUUUUGGCCAUUGUAAGGGAGAAAUAGUGAAGUAAGCAAGUUGAAUCCUUAUAUAUUGGUAUCAGAGCCUCCACACUGGGGGUGAUCACGCGUCUGAUGGCUCAAAGACAGAUAGAAGAACGGGUAGAAGGUACUGAAAAGGAAAUUAUGAGUCUGAAGGAGAUGAUGCUGGAAAUGAAGAAAUCGAUGGAUCGAAUGACAGGCGAGCUAAGAGAAAACCAUGGUGCUAAGAAAAAAGAAGAAGCAGGGACUACGGACGACAUCAGGUUGAAACUGAAGGGAAAACUGGAAAGGCCGGAACCACAGUCGAGUCGGGUGGAAGCAGCGCAGACCGAAGUAAGUACAAAAAAUUAGAAAUGCCACUGUUUACAGGGUGAACCCUGAAUCCUGGGCGUACCGAGCAGAACAUUUUUUUGAUAUAAAUGACUUACCGGAAGCUGAGAAGGUCAAAGUAGCAGUCGUGAGUUUUGGACAGGAAGAGGUAGACUGGUUUAGAUGGAGUAAUCGUAGAAAGAGGGUGGAAUCUUGGGAGGACUUGAAGGAAAGGAUGUUUGAUUUCUUUAAGAUAUAGGACAGCAGAGCUUGGGGGCAAGAUUAAUCCGUAUUAAGCAAGAAGGCUCAUACAGCGAGUACGUUAAGAAGUUUGUUACAUACUCAGCCCCCUCCCGGACAUGGCAGAAAGUGUUCUGCUGGAUGCGUUUUUAACGGGUCUGGAACCCUCACUGCAAGCGGAAGUAAUCAGCAGACACCCUCAAACUUUAGAGGAAUGUAUGAAGGAAGCUCAGCUUGCGAAUGAUAGGAAUAUAGCAUUAAAACUGGCGAUGGAAGAGUUGGAUAUAGUUGAGCCCAAAAGGAAUGAGAACAGCAGCAAAUUUCAAGGAAAAAAUGAGAAGACAGAAAGUAAAAAGACAGAGUUUGUGAUGAAGCAGGUAACUAUUCCAUUGAAAAAUGAUUACCAGAAAAAAGAUCUCCCAAUUAAACGGCUGUCGGAUACGGAAUUUAGAGCAAGGCUGGAUAAGGGCUUUGUUUCAGAUGUAAUGAAAAGUACGCCCCAGGCCAUCGAUGUAAAGGGAGAGAAAAAAGAGAGUUGAUGCUCCUUAUACUAAAUGAGGAAGAAGACCACAAAAGGGAAGAGGAUACAGAGGAUGAGGCAAGCGAAGUAAUAGAACUGAAUCAUCUGGAAUUGAAUAUGGAUAACCCUAUUGAAUUGAGGUUGAUCACGGGAGUUACAUCAAAGGGGACGAUGAAAUUAAAAGGACAUGUGAACGGAAGGGAAGUAGUAUAUUCUGAUUGACAGCGGGGCGACCAAUAACUUCAUCAGCUAAGUGUUGGUAGAUGAACUACAGCUGAGCAUCGAUCCGGGAACUCGUUUUGGAGUUACCAUUGGGAAUGGCAACCAAUGUGAAGGAAGUGGGAUUUGCAAGAGGGUGAAGGUGAAGUUAAAAGAGUUAACAAUCGUAGCAGAUUUCCUAGCGGUAGAGUUAGGAACGGUAGACUUGGUGCUUGGGAUGCAAUGGCUAGAUUCGACAGGAACCAUGAAGGUUCACUGGCCAUCCCUAACCAUGACGUUUUGGAUGAAGGUAGAAGAAUAAUCCUAAAAGGUGACCCUUCUCUAACGAAGUCAGAAUGUUCAUUGAGAACCUUAGAGAAAACGUGGCAAUCCGGGGACCAAGGAUUCCUCUUGGAAUUCCAAAACUAUGAAGUAAACUAUGAAGGAGAAUCGGAAACAGAAGCUGAAUUGAAGGGAAAGGAAGAAGGAUUACCCAUGGUUCAGCGAUUGCUCGAGCAAUAUGCAGAUGUCUUUAGGUUGCCCACGGGUUUACCGCCAAGGAGAGCCAUAGACCAUCGCAUUCUGACCGUGGCCGAUCAGAAACCAAUUAAUGUAAGACCAUAUAAGUAUGGCCAUGUACAAAAGGAAGAGAUUGAAAAAUUGGUGUUAGAAAUGUUACAAGCUGGGGUGAUUCGUCCAAGCCGCAGCCCAUAUUCGAGCCCGGUCCUCUUAGUGAAGAAAAAAGAUGGAGGGUGGAGAUUUUGUGUAGAUUACAGGAAACUCAAUCAAGUAACGGUGGCUGAUAAAUUUCCAAUUCCCGUGAUCGAAGAACUCUUAGAUGAACUUCAUGGUGCGACAGCUUUCUCAAAGUUAGACCUUAAAUCUGGAUACCACCAGAUUAGGAUGAGGGAGGAAGAUGUGGAGAAAACAGUUUCCACACGCAUGAAGGACAUUAUGAGUUCUUGGUGAUGCCUUUCGGCCUUACGAAUGCUCCUGCCACCUUCCAAUCUCUCAUGAACGAGGUGUUCAAACCAUUCCUUCGAAGGUGUGUCCUGGUUUUUUUUUAUGACAUUCUAGUUUGUAGUGUGGACAUAGAUGAACACAUGAAACAUUUAGGAAUGGUUUUUGCUAUCUUGAGGGACCAUGAAUUGUUUGCAAAUAGGUCUAAAUGUGUCAUUGCUCAUUCCCAAGUUCAAUAUUUGGGUCAUCUGAUUUCCAGCAGAGGAGUGGAGGCUGAUGAGGACAAGAUUCGCAGUAUGGUAAAUUGGCCACGGCCGAAAGAUAUAACUGGGCUGAGGGGAUUCCUUGGACUGACUGGGUAUUAUAGAAGAUUUGUGAAAAGCUAUGGAGAAAUAGCUGCACCCUUAACCAAAUUACUUCAGAAAAAUGCAUUCCAUUGGAAUGAGGAAGCUACAAUAGCGUUUGACCAGCUGAAGCUAGCAAUGACAACCUUACCGGUAUUAGCAUUGCCGGAUUGGUCUCAGCCCUUCACAAUCGAAACUGAUGCUUCAGGAGUAGGUUUAGGUGCAGUUUUAUCACAAGAUGGUCAUCCCAUCGCAUUCUUCAGCCAGAAACUGUCCCCAAGAGCCCAGGGUAAGUCGAUCUAUGAAAGGGAAUUGAUGGCGGUUGUCCUUUCGGUGCAAAAAUGGAGACAUUAUCUCCUGGGCAGAAAGUUCACAAUUGUUUCAGAUCAGAAGGCUCUGAAAUUUCUGUUAGAACAGAGGGAAGUUCAGCCUCAAUUCCAAAAGUGGCUCACAAAACUUUUGGGGUAUGACUUUGAGAUCUUAUACCAGCCGGGUCUGCAGAAUAAGGUGGCGGAUGCUCUCUCAAGGAAGGACCAUUCGGUGGAGUUAAAUACAAUGACAACCACAGGCAUAGUUGAUAUAGAGAUAAUAGAGAAGGAAGUUGAAAUGGAUCAAGAACUUCAGAAAAUUAUUGCCGAACUUAAGGGAGAGGUGGAUCAAGGUGGGAAAUACCAGUGGAACAAUGGCAGGCUGCUAUAUAAAGGAAGGAUGGUGCUGCCGCGAAAUUCCUCCCUCAUUCCGAGUCUUCUACACACGUUCCAUGAUUCCAUAUUAGGAGGGCACUCGGGAUUCUUGAGAACCUAUAAAAGAAUGAGUGGGGAACUAUUUUGGAAAGGAAUGAAGGCUGAUAUCAAGAGAUAUGUAGAAGAAUGUGACACUUGUCAACGUAAUAAGUUCGAAGCUACUAAGCCUGCGGGAGUUCUGCAACCCAUUCCUAUCCCCGACAAGAUAUUGGAGGAUUGGACCAUGGAUUUUAUUGAAGGGCUGCCAAUAGCAGGAGGUUACAACGUGAUUAUGGUAGUCGUCGACCGCCUAAGUAAGUACUCCUACUUCUUGCCUCUGAAACACCCGUACACAGCAAGCAAGUGGCUUCAAUUUUUUUGGAAAAAGUGGUCAGCAAACAUGGAAUACCCAAGUCCAUUAUUACCGACCGUGAUAAGAUCUUCCUUAGCAAUUUCUGGAAGGAGUUGUUCACUACCAUGGGCACCAUUUUGAAGAGAAGCACGGCAUUCCAUCCCCAAACCGAUGGACAAACCGAGAGGGUAAACAGAUGCCUAGAGACCUAUUUGAGAUGCUUUUGCAAUGAACAACCGAAGAAAUGGGAUAAACUGAUCCCUUGGGCGGAAUUAUGGUAUAACACAACCUUCCACGCAUCCACCAAAACUACUCCUUACCAAUCUGUUUUUGGAAGAACUCCCCCGCCACUGCUGUCAUAUGGAUGGAAGCAAUCUCCUAACAAUGACGUAGAAGUCAUGUUGAAGGAGAGAGAUUUAGCACUCAAUGCACUGGAGGAAAACCUAUGCAUAGCUCAAAAUAGAAUGAAGAAAAUGGCAGACCGAAACCGCAGGGAGCUCAAAUUCAAAAUUGGGGAUGAAGUGUAUUUGAAACUACGACCCUAUCGACAAAGAUCACUAGCUCGGAAGAAAUGUGAAAAGCUAUCCCCAAAAUUUUAUGGGCCGUAUGAGGGGUAAAACGUAAAAGCUCACGAAGUAGAAAAGGGAGAAUAUUAGGAAAAGAACAUGAGAGUGGGGCCCACAGGGAAGAAUGAGAAAAGAGCUAUAAAUAAGGCCUUAUCGGGAUUGGGGGCUAGGUUAACUUUUUGUCGUCAUUUGGUCUGUAGAGGCUGCUAGGUCUAGGAAGGACUACUAUCUUUUCCUGGGGAGGUUUGACAUGAUAUUAUCAUCUUUAUUGCUUUCUUUUAUAUUUCCUUCUACUAUAUCUCUUGACAUUUAUAUAUAAAUAAAGAUCUACAGAGUGCUGUCUCUGUUUGCCAACUGUUUGGGUAAUUUAGUAUUUUAUUUGUGGAGUCUCUACAAAAUUAUAGCAAUUCAUUGCAAAUAAGAUGCAGUACCUUGAUUUUAUGGUUAAAGGUUCCAAUUGUUUUUUCUUUUUAAGCUCUUAUUUAUUUAUCGGGAUUGGGGGCUAGGUUAACUUUUUGUCUUCAUUUGGUCUGUAGAGGCUGCUAGGUCUAGGAAGGACUACUAUCUUUUCCUAGGGAGGUUUGACAUGAUAUUAUCACCUUUAUUGCUUUCUUUUAUAUUUCCUUCUACUGUAUCUUUGGCAUUUAUAUAUAAAUAAAGAUCUACAGAGUGCUGUCUCUGUUUGCCAACUGUUUGGGUAAUUUAGUAUUUUAUUUGUGGAGUCUCUACAAAAUUAUAGCAAUUCAUUGCAAAUAAGAUGCAGUACCUUGAUUUUAUGGUUAAAGGUUCCAAUUGUUUUUUCUUUUUAAGCUCUUAUUUGGAAGAGAUUCACCUGUUACAAGUUGAAAUGUGAGUUGGAAAAAUUGGACAAGAAGUUAUAACCUUACAAGAAAAUGAUCCUUAAAGAACUAACUUGAUUCAAGCAAAAUAUCUUCAAGAACAAAAUUGCAAUUACACGAACACUUAUUAACACAAAUAAAAAAUGCAAAUCACACUAUUGAGUACAAUGAAAUACAACAUGAUAACAAGACAGAGAUGCAACAUAUACAUAAACAUACAAAUCAGAAAAGAAGUUGAUUCUUGACAACAAAGUAAAAUAAAUACAAAACAUAUUAAAUUUCUAUGACCAUUAGGACUCUAUAGAGAAAUGCCUACUUUCGACAUAAGCAUUUCAUCAAAUUCCAUCAAAAGCGGAGAGGUUGCCCAUGCAAGCUCUGAUACCAGGCAAUCUCGACGCGCAUUUUACUUUACCUAAGCAGCUGGCUUGACUCCCUCUUUUUUUCUCCCUCCCUCUCUACCGGCUGCCGUGCUAGGUGAAGAACUAAAAGGACCUACUAGGCGGGGUCGGGUUUUGCUUAGGCAAGAAAAGCGGAGAGGAUCCCCACGAAAACUCUGAAACCGGGGGAUCUCGACACGCAUUUUACUUGACCUAAGCGGCUGGCUUGGCUCCCUCUUUUUUUUCUCUCUCCCUCUCUACAGGCUGCCAUGCUGAGUGAAGAACUCUAAGAACCUACUAGGCGGGGUCGGUUUUUGCUUAGGCAAGAAAAGCGGAGAGAAUCCCCACGAAAAUUCUGAAACCGGGGGAUCUCCGCGCAUUUUACUUGACCUAAGCGGCUGGCUUGGCUCCCUCUUUUUUUUUCUCUCCCUCUCUACCGGCUGCCAUGCUGGGUGAAAAACUCUAAGGACCUACUAGGCUGUCGGGUUUUGCUUAGGCAAGAAAAGCGGAGAGGAUCCCCACGAAAAUUCUGAAACAGGGGGAUCUCGGUGCGCAUUUUACUUGACCUAAGCGGCUGGCUUGGCUCCCUCUUUUUUUUUCUCUCGCCCUCUCUACCGGCUGCCAUGCUGUGUGAAAAACUCUAAGGACCUACUAGGCGGGUCGGGUUUUGCUUAGGCAAGAAAAGCGGAGAGGAUCCACACGAAAAUUCUGUAACCGGGGGAUCUCGGCGCGCAUUUUACUUGACCUAAGCGGUUGCCUUGGCUCCCUCUUUGUUUUUCUCUCACCCUCUCUACCGGCUGCCAUGAUGGGUGAAGAACUCUAAGAACCAACUAGGCGGGGUCGGGUUUUGCUUAGGCAAGAAAAGCGGAGAGGAUCCCCACGAAAAUUCUGAAACCGGGGGAUCUCGGCGCGCAUUUUACUUGACCUAAGCGGCUGGCUUGGCUCCCUCUUUUUUUUCUCUCUCCCUCUCUAACCGGCUGCCAUGCUGGGUGAAAAACUCUAAGGACCUACUAGGCGGGUCGGGUUUUGCUUAGGCAAGAAAAGCGGAGAGGAUCCCCACGAAAAUUCUGAAACCGGGGAUCUCGGCGCGCAUUUUACUUGACCUAAGCGGCUGGCUUGGCUCCCUCUUUUUUUUCUCUCCCUCUCUACCGGCUGCCAUGAUGGGUGAAGAACUCUAAGAACCUACUAGCCGGGGUCGGGUUUUGCUUAGGCAAGAAAAGCGGAGAGGAUCCCCACGAAAAUUCUGAAACCGGGGGAUCUCGGCGCGCAUUUUACUUGACCUAAGCGGCUGGCUUGGUUCCCUCUUUUUUUCUCUCUCCCUCUCUACCGGCUGCCAUGCUGGGUGAAGAACUCUAGUGACCCACUAGGCGGGGGUCGGGUUCUGCAACUCUAAGCAGCUUGGUCGUAUUGUUUUGUUUUUAUCGGCUGUUAUGUUGGGUGAAGAACUCUAAGAACCUAACAAUCAUAUUUUGCUUUCAAACAAUCUUAUACAAAUGUGUAUGGCCAAAAGAGGGAUUUAAAAUUAAUAUAAAAAAGGCAGUAGAAGAUGGCAAAAAAGGGGAUUAAAAUUGAGAUAAAAAAGGCAACCGACAUAUUAUUAUGUACAUAAUUCACAAUAUUCAGAAAAUGAACCAAGUGUUCUACUCAUUUCUAAGCUAUCAAUAUAUGCAUUUUUCAACAUAUGUAACAUAUUCAAAUAACAAAUACAAUCACAAAUCCGAGCUCUGUUCUCAUGGGUUUAGGCAUAUAUGCUUUUUUAUGCUAAAACGAAGUAGACAUGGUACUUAUUCUAAGCAUAGAGCAUUGCAAAAGUUUCUAAAUUUUGACAUUUUUAGCAAAAUUUGCAAAAUGAAAAUUUCCCAAAGGACAUGGAAUGUGCAAGGCUACAACCCCCCCCCCUUAAAAAUUUGCAUUGUCCUCAAAGCAUUUUAAGCAAGAUUCUACGGAUGGAAAGAAAAAAAAAGGAGAACAGAAGACCUCCCCUUGUAACCUAGUUUCUUCAUGGAAGCUUGCUUGCAAAGAUCCCAAGUUUGGUUAUAUUUCAUUUUCCUUUAUUCCUACAAAAAGAAACAAAAUUUCCUUCGAAUUUUAUUAAAGAGGUUAAACUAAAAAUUUUAGAAAAAUGUGCACAAUUGUUUAAGCUCGGUUGCAUUUUCUAAGCAUCACUUGAAUUAUUAAAACGACCUAACAAAUAUUCAAUACAAGUUCGUAAUUCAUAACCUACCAAAAAGUUCAAAAAGAUUGUUGUAAAUUACAUACAUCAAUAAACUUACUUCAGCAUUCAUUUGGGUUAUUGUACGUUCAUAUUAAAAAGUAGUCAUUCAUGUCGUGAUGCAAAGGCCCUUUUUAUGUAUCUAAAACUAAAAUCACGAAAUCAUCGUGGACAUGCAGCACAACAAACUGAAUUUCCAUGGGAAGCCUUUGCUAACAAAAUGGUUGACAAUAAUUACUCAGACAAGAGAGAAUGACUAUAAUUAAUUAACAGAAGUACAUCAAUAUAGGUGCACAACCACCAAGCCCCAACAAAAGGAACAAUAAACUUCAAUAACAAAAGAAAGGUAGUAUCAGGACUAUCCUUACUUGUUAUCGAAGAAGAUACCUUGGCUCUGGUAAGCCCAAUGCUCUGCCUUACAACGUUCAAUUACCUCAGUACUACAGCGUUUCUUCAAAGUUUGGGAAUCUACCUAAAACAUAAAUAUAUAUUCCAACUUGAAAACCUCCAUGUCAGAAACUUUACUUUAUUUAUCAAACCAGAUGCUAUGCAAGAAUUAGUUAGCAGAAAUACAACAUAAAUAGUAAUGAUAUUCUUUGGGGAGGAUAAAAGCAUCUUUCAUCUUAGAAAUAAGCUUAGCAGUUAGCACUAACCUUUAUAUAAGAAGUUAACACCGGUUUGAUUGCUUCUUAAAGUUCAGCUACGAAAUCUGGUAAAGAGAAAGACCUAAUCCAUAAUGUUAAAGAGGAAAAGACCAAGUCAGAUUCCUUUAUUCAAACAGGUUAGUAUCACAUCUCCAAAGGAAAAAAACUUACGGACCUCUACGACGAAUUUCCUUGAAUGAUGUAGCAGCACCUGAUUCUUCAAACACAGUUUCAUUUAUGCUGUGAAAAAUAAGAUCGAUAAAUAAAACUUUUGGCUACAAUUAGCCACAGAAACAUAAAGCUGUGACAGGAAAACAAAAGCUAACAGAUAAUUAACUAUACAGUUUGUAAGCAAAAUACCAAAUAGCCCAUAAUCAAGAUCACAACUGAAGCAAACAAUAAUGUGUAGUUUAUCAUUUCCAACCAAAUAAUUCAAUAACAAAUAAGGUCAAAUGGCCAAAUAAUAUGUCCUUUCACAUAAAUAUUUACUCCUGAAUUUUUUGAAGGAUAAUGUUACCGCUUCUCUCCCACGUUUCACAAAAAUUCUUUUACAUAUUAUAUUUUUUUUACAUAUUCCUAUUGAAGAAUCUCAUUUGAGCAUUUUCUGGUCAAUUUGACUUGAAAGAAACGGCCAAACUUUCAAUAAGAAAGAAGCAAGAUGCCCAAUUACGAAAAUAAAUACCAUGAAUACAAACCAUGAAGAAAUAGUAAAACAGUCAAUACAAGAAGAAAAAAGUUCACUUCAAAACGACCUAAAACAGUAUCACUUGAACAAAAUGUGUCUAAGUAUCACUCGAACUUUCAAAACGACCUAAAACAGCUUACGUUGAGAUUUGUAACUCAUAACCUACGAAAAAAGUUCAAAUAGUGUGAAAAAAGCACUACAAGACCCAAAAUGGCUACCAAGUGUGUAAUUGUAACAAACUUAGUUCAAACCAACCUAGAACGUGCUCAAAACGUGUCUAGGUAUUACUUGAGUUUUCAAAACGACCUAGCAAAUCCUAAAUGUAGGUUCGUAAUGAUCUACCAAAAAGGUUGAAAAAAGCAUUUCAAGACCAAAAAUGACAACCAAGUGCAACAAAAUCAAUCUAACCUAAAAUGUAUUCAAAACAUGUGUACGUAUCACUUAAACUUUCAAAACCACCAAACAAUGCUUAAGUGUAAGUUUGUAACUCACAACCUACCAAAUUUUCAAAAACUGUAAAAAAAGCACUUCAAGACCCAAAAUGGCAACGAAGUAUGUAAGUGCAACGGACUUAGUUUCAAGCCAUCCUAAAAAGAGUGCAAAACGUGUCUAAGAUUUCAAACCGACCAAACAAUACUCAAGCGUAAGUUCGUAACUCACAACCUAAAAAAAUUUCAAAAAGUGUGAAAAAAAGUACUUCAAGACCCAACAUUUCAAUCCAAUGUGUAAGUGCAACAAACUUAGUUUCAAACCAACGCAAAAUGUGUUUAAAACGACCUAACAAUCGUUAAGUGUAAGUUCGUAACUCACAAACUAACAAAAAAAUCAAAAUGCGUGAAAAAUGCACUUUGAGACCUAAAAUGGCAACCAAGUAUGCAAGUGAAACAAACUUAGUCUUAAACAAAUCUAAAAAAAUUUCAAACCGUGUUUAAGUAUCACUUGAACUUUCAGAACGACCUAAGAAUGUUUAUUUGUAAAUUCAUCACUCAUAACCUACCAAAAAGUUCAAGAAGUAUGGAAAAAAAGGAAACACUACACGACCCAAAAUGGCAACCAAGUGCGCAAGUGCAACAAACUUAGUUCCAAACCAACCUAAAAAGUGGUCAAGGCGUGUCUAAGUAUCACUUGGACUUUCAAAACAACCUAACAAAGUUUAAGUGUAAGUUGGUAACCCAUAGCCUACCAAAAAGUUCAAAAAGUGUGAAAAGGGCACUUCAAGACCGAAAAUGGCAACCAAUUGGAUAAGGUCAACAAACUUAGUUUCAAACUAACCUAAACCGAGUUUAAAACGUGUCUAAGUAUCACUUAACUUUCAAAAUGUCCUAAAACAGCUUACGUGUAGGAUCGUAACUCAUAACCUACGAAAAAAGUUCAAAUAUUGUGAAAAAAGCACUACAAUACCCAAAAUGGCAACCAAGUGUGUAAGUGCAACAAACUUAGUUCAAACCAACCUAAAAUGUGCUCAAAACGUGUCUAUGUAUUACUUGAGUUUUCAAAACGACCUAGCAAAUCCUAAGUGUAAGUUCGUAACUCAUAAUCUACCAAAAAGUUUGAAAAAAGCAUUUCAAGACCAAAAAUGACAACCAAGUGCAACAAACUCAAUCUAACCUAAAAUGUAUUCAAAACGUGUGUAACUAUCACUUGAAUUUUCAAAACAACCAAACAAUGCUUAAGGGUAAGUUUGUAACUCACAACCUACCAAAAUUUCAAAAAGUGUGAAAAAGGUACUUCAAGACCCAAAACGGCAACGAAGUAUGUAAGUGCAAUGAACUUAGUUUCAAGUUAUCUUAAAAAGAGUUCAAAAUGUGUCUAAGCUUUCAAACGGACCAAACAAUACUCAAGCGUAAGUUCGUGACUCACAACCUACCAAAAUUUCAAAAAGUGUGGAAAAAAGCACUUGGAGACCCAACAUGUCAAUCAAAUGUCUAAACAAACUUAGUUCCAAACAAACACAAAAUGUGUUUGAAACGACCUAACAGUGCUUAAGUGUAAGUUCGUAACUCACAAACUAACAAAAAGUUCAAAAUGAGUGAAAAUGCACUUUGAGACCUAAAAUGGCAACCAAUUGUGCAAGUGAAACAAACUUAGUGUUAAACAAAUCUAAAAAAUGUGCUUAAAACUACUCUAAAGCACACACAAACACUCUCCAUCUCACUCUCUAUCUGCCCUGUUUCCAAUUUAAUCAGGUAUUCAUUUGGGGUUAUUGUAGGUUCAUAUUUAGAAAUAGUCAUUCAUGUUGUGAUGCAAAAUCCCUUUUAUGUAUCUAAAACUAAAAUCACGAAAAUCAUCUUGGACAUGCAGCACAACAAACUAAAUUUCCACGGGAAGCCUUUGCUAACAAAAUGGUAGACAAUAAUUACUCAAACAAGAGAAGGACUAUAAUUAAUUAACAGAAGUACAAAUCAAUAUAGGUGCACAACCACCAAACAAGAGAGAAGGAACAAUAAACUUCAAUAACAAAAGAAAGGUAGUAUCAGGACUAUCCUUACUUGUUAUCGAAGAAGAUACCUUGGCUCCGGUAAGCCCAAUGCUCUGCCUUACAACGUUCAAUUACCUCAGUACUGCAGCGUUUCUUCAAAGUUUGGGAAUCUACCUAAAACAUAAAUAUAUAUUCCAACUUGAAAACCUCCAUGUCAGAAACUUUACUUUAUUUAUCAAACCAGAUGCUAUGCAAGAAUUAGUUAGCAGAAAUACAACAUAAAUAGUAAUGAUAUUCUUUGGGGAGGGGAUAAAAGCAUCUUUCAUCUUAGAAAUAAGCUUAGCAGUUAGCACUAACCUUUAUAUAAGAAGUUAACACCGGUUUGAUUGCUUCUUAAAGUUCAACUACGAAAUCUGGUAAAGAGAAAGACCUAAUCCAUAAUGUUAAAGAGGAAAAGACCAAGUCAGAUUCCUUUAUUCAAACAGGUUAGUAUCACAGCACCAAAGGAAAAAACUUACGGAUCUCUACGACGAAUUUCCUUGAAUGAUGUAGCAGCAUUUGAUGCUUGAAACACGGUUUCAUUUAUGCUGUGAAAAAUAAGAUCGAUAAAUAAAACUUUUGGCUACAAUUAGCCACAGAAACAUAAAGCUGUGACAGGAAAACAAAAGCUAACAGAUAAUUAACUAUACAGUUUGUAGGCAAAAUACCAAAUAGCCCAUAAUCAAGAUCACAACUCAAGCAGACAAUAAUGUGUAGUUUAUCAUUUCCAUCCAAAUAAUUCAAUCAUAAAUAAGGUCAAAUGGCCAAAUAAUAUGGCCUUUCACAUAAAUACUUACUCCUGAAUUUUUUGAACGAUAAUGUUAUCGCUUCUCUCCCACGUUUCACGAAGGCCCUCAGCCAUCUGCCAAUUCCAAUAUAAGAAAAUUAUUUUACAUAUUAUAUUAAACAUUGAAAAUUCUUUUACAUAUUAUUUUUUUUUUAUGUAUUCCUAUUGAAGAAUCUCAUUUGAGCAUUUUGUGGUCAAUUUGACUUGACAGAAACAGCAGAACUUUCAAUUAGAAGGAAGCAAGAUGCCCAGUUUUUUUGAACUGCGGUUUUUUUUUUUUUUUUUUGCUUUAACUUGCUGUAAAUUGGAGAUGUUUUCCAUAACUGCUUCGGCUUGGAGCCCUCUCUCUACUCCUUAUGUAAUUUCAAGAAAUAGAUAAAAUCCAAGUUAAACUAGAUAAGUGGAAAAGAUAUUGUCUCUUUAGUGGAGGUUGGGACACACUUUGUAAGUCGGUUUUUUCACAUAUACCUACACACUAUAUGUCUAUAUUCUUAAUGCCAGAAAAGAUGAUUCAUAAAGUGAUUAAUUGGAAGGUGGUGUCUUGUUCGCAAGAGGAUGGUGGAAUCGGCGUCGAUGGUGCAACGUUAAAAAAAUGCAACCUUCUUGCUAAAUGGGGAUGGAGAUUUAUAAAUGAAAAGAAUUCCCUUUGGGCUAAAGUGGUGAAGAGUAUCCAUGGAGAAAGUUAAUUUGGAUGGCAUACUAAAGGAAUUGUCACUUGCAGUCUCCAUAGUCCCUGGAUUAGCAUUUCGAGAUGCUAGCUUCAAGUGGAUUCCUAGGCAUUGUUCAAGUUCGGUGAUGGUUGAAGAAUAGCAUUUUGGAAUGAUUUUUGGGCAGAUGUUGUUUCUUUUCAAGAUCGUUUAGAUUGUCUUUGAACUCUAAUAAUGGAGAUGUAAAGGAGUUUUGGGACUCUUCCACUACUUCAUGGGCUCUAAAUUUCAGGAGACUUCUAAAAGUUGAAGAAAUAGAUGAAUUUCAAGCCUCCCAAAAUAAAAGAACCUAGAAAUCAGAAUCAAAUGGGAGGUUUUUGGUUCAUUCAUUGGUCAAGCAUCUCUCCAUUGCCUCCCCAAUUGAAAAACAUUUAUACUCGACAAUUUGGAAGACAAAAAGCCCUAGAAGAGUGAAUAUCACGCUUUGGAGAAAGCGAAAUGGACUAUGAACUGUGCAGAAGUUUUGCAAAUGAAACCUUCCUCUCACAGUUUAUCUCCUAAUAUUUGUCCCUUGUGUUUGCAUGCUUUAGAAGAUUUACAUCAUAUUUUCUUCUCCUGCUUACAUGAAAAGAAGUGUUGGUUUGACUUACUUGGCUAUCUUCAUUUGAAUUGGGUUUUCGACUAUAGAUUUAGGAGAACGCGGUCCAGCUUAUUUCAUGUCCCAUUCUCAAGAAGAAACCAAGAUUGAUUUGGUUAAAUGCAGUGAAGGCCAUUUUACCAGAAAUUUGGUUUGAACAUAAUCAGCUAACAUUUUAAAAUAAAGCUUCCUCUUGGACAACUCGAGUCGAAAUGGCUAGAAUCAAUGCUUCUUCUUGAUGCUCUCUUUCAAAAGACUUCAAAGAUUUCUCCAUACAAGAUAUAAGUCAUAAUUGGCCGACUUUCAUUUUUAAUUCUUAGUCCACUACUGUACUCUUAUUUUAUUUCUUUUGGAUUUCUAGUGGUCUUAAAUCUAUGUUGUAUAGUUAUUGGGCAGUUUGUAUGAUCUAUUCCAAACCUUGUCGUUGGUUUAGUCUUUUGGUUUAAGUCUCGAUAUGGUGAGAAUGCUAAGUAGGUGUCAACAUAGAUGAGAUGUCCUAGUGCACUCACUGAUCCUAGGGCUUCUUUGUAUUACCUUUUGUCUUGUCUAUUCAUUUUCAGCUUAAUGAAGAGGCUCCUUUCCUACUUCAAAAAAGAAAAAAAAGGUAAAUGUGUGAUUCUUAUAAAGUAAAUUAUCCUACAGAUUAAAAGUUUGAACUUAUUCCAAGUGCUUCACCAAAUCUUAAAUAUUUGAACCAACAGCACCAACUUUGCACAACACAACAAUGUAAAACACAUUAACUACUUUCUCUUUUAUGCACAUUAUAUAUCAAAUAAAAAUAUUAGAAGGGAAAAAAUGGAAAAAAAAAAACAUACUAACAACGAUAAAAUAUAAUAAGCUUCAAUCGAAGAGAGAAGGUUUGAAGAACAUAAUUCAAAGGUUCCCAAAAUCAUAUCAUAAUUAGAAAGCCAAUACCAACACCAAUUCAAAGAGAACACCUAAUCUACCAUACAAAAGUCUAAAUAUAACUUUUUUUUUAAUCUUGUGUUUUAGUGUAUGAUGCAAGUGAAGCAAAACAACAUUACAAUAUAAGAUCUUUUUACCCUGAUAUUUAAUAAUCAACUAAGAAAAAUUCGCAUUCAAAGUUGACCAAGAAUCCAAGACCUUCAAUAGGCAAAGAUAAUAUUCUCAACAUGGUAAUUGGAUGUGUUCCCUUUAGCAUAGUAUCUUAAAUAAUCACUUUUUGUUAUUUGAGAAAAACUCCAUUUUCUCUUAUUAAUGAAAAAGGACUUGAUAAUAGGCAAGUAUAAUUUAAUAGAAAUUCUAACUAAAGAGAACUAAUUAUAAAAGGAAAUAACGUCUAAAAAGAAUAAUUAAAAAAAUAACUAAGGCAACUAUACAAUACAAAUCUACACUUUGUAAUCACAACUUUCGAUCUUCCUUGUAUGGAGUAACAUUUUAAAGAGGCCGAACUAAGAUAGAUCUAAGCAAAAACUUCAUUGAUGGCCUAAGAAAGAUGGAUGGAAACCUUAUAAUGAUACAGGUAACAAACCUUUUCAAUUGAGGUUUAGAUGCAAAACAUGUAAUAUAGUUCAACAUUAUUUUGCCAAAGUUAGUCAUUAAACUCAAGCGAAUCAUAAAACAGAAAAAGAAUGUAGAUUUAAGAGGACUAUGUAAUAUAUCAACUAGGAAUGAAAUAGGCGAAGAUAAAAGCAAGUAUUAAGAACAAAACAAAGCAUAACAAAAGAGGAAGGCCAGCUUACUAUUCAAAAAAGCAAAGGAGUUCCACAUCACUUGCAAGAUAGCCUGUGGAACAUUGCUAUAGAACUAUCUUGGGAACUUUGGCAGAGUUGUGUUUGGAAAUUACAAUGAUGUUUAGCAAAAAUGUUUACAAUAAUAAAACUAUAACAUAAAUGUUUCAUAGUGUUGGAAGAAAUUUGUAAGGCCCCCUAUUAUCCAUACAUACAAAAGGAGGGGUAAAAACGUAAAAGCUCACGCAGCAGAAAAGGGGAGAAUAUUAGGAAAAGAACAUGAGAGUGGGGCCCACGGGGAAGAAUGAGAAAAGAGCUAUAAAUAAGGCCUUAUCGGGAUUGGGGGCUAGGUUAACUUUUUGUCUUCAUUUGGUCUGUAGAGGCUGCUAGGUCUAGGAAGGACUACUAUCUUUUCCUGGGGAGGUUUGACAUGAUAUUAUCAUCUUUAUUGCUUUCUUUUAUAUUUCCUUCUACUGUAUCUCUUGGCAUUUAUAUAUAAAUAAAGAUCUACAGAGUGCUGUCUCUGUUUGCCAACUGUUUGGGUAAUUUAGUAUUUUAUUUGUGGAGUCUCUACAACUGGUAUCAGAGCCCAAACGCUGGGGUGGUGACGCGACUGAUGGCGCAAAGGCAAAUAGAAGAAAGAAUAGAUGGAACGAGAAAGAAAUACUGGGCUUGAAGGAAAUGAUUCUGGAAAUGAAGAAAUCCAUGGAUAGACUGGCUGAUGAAAUGAAAGAAAACAGCAGCUACAAAAGGCGAGAUGAAUCCGGAACUUCUGAUGGAUCAGUCAUGAAGUUAAAAGGAAAAUGGGAAGAAGCCGACAAUCCAGGGGAAAACAAUGUAGUAACUGUCGACCGAAGCAAAUAUAAGAAACUGGAAAUGCCGAUUUUCACCGGGGAAAAUCCUGAGUCAUGGGUGUUUAGAGCUGAGCAUUUUUUCGAAAUUAAUAGCCUACCGGAAGCAGAAAAAGUGAAAGUAGGUGGUUAGUUUCGGACAAGAUGAAAUCGAUUGGUACCGUUGGAGUAACCAUAGAAAGAAGGUGGAAGGAUGGGAAGAUUUGAAGGUAAGGAUGUUUGAAUUUUUUCGAGAUUCUGGGCAGAAGAGCUUAGGUGCAAGGCUGAUUCGAAUAGAACAAGAUGGAUCCUAUAAUGAUAUGUCAAGAAAUUCGUACAAUAUUCUGCACCACUACUGCACAUGGCUGAAAGCGUGCUCUUAGAUGCAUUCGUGACUGGUCUAGAACCGGCUCUUCAAGCAGAAGUUAUUAGUAGACAUCCUCAAACCUUAGAGGAAUGUAUGAAGGAGGCACAACUGGUAAGUGGCAGAAACCUAGCCUUGAAAUUAGCCAAGGCAGAAUGGGUAAACAGUGUGACUAGGGAAGGAGGAGGCUCAAGCAAGGGACAAAGCAGUCAAGAUAAAAGUUCACCAAAGAAGACUGAGUUCCCCAUGAAGCAAGUCACUAUUCCCAUUAAAGGAAACUACCAGAAAAAUGAACCUCCAGUUAAAAGACUCUUGGACACGGAAUUCAGAGCAAGAUUGGACAAGGGUUUGUGUUUUAGAUGCAAUGAGAAGUACUCACCGGGACACCGAUGCAAGAUGAGAGAGAAAAGGGAAUUAAUGUUAUUUAUACUUAACGAAGAAGAGAGUGGCGGGGAGGAAGUCAAAAUGGAAGAGACCGAAGAAGUAAUGGAGCUGAACCAGUUAGUUGUUGCUGAAACCACCGAAAUUGAAUUGAAGACACUCACGGGGUUAACAUCCAAAGGGACAAUGAAACUGAAGGGGCAUGUAAAAGGAAGGGAGGUGGUGAUUCUCAUCGACAGUGGAGCUACGAACAACUUCAUCCAUGAAGCAGUGGCAAUGGAAGGAGGGUUGAACAUUGAACCCGGUACACAAUUUGGAGUGACUAUUGGAGACGGGACCCGCUGUAAAGGGAAAGGUAUUUGCAGAAAGGUGGAACUGAGAUUGAAAGAAAUGACAGUUAUAACUGAUUUUCUAGUGGUGGAACUAGGAAAUAUUGACGUGAUUUUAGGGAUGCAAUGGCUAGAUACCACCGGCACAAUGAAGGUACAUUGGCCAUCAUUAACCAUGACCUUUUGGGCAAAAGACAAGCAAAUCGUGUUAAGAGGAGAUCCAUCCUUAGUGAAACCUGAAUGUUCUUUGAAGACAUUGGAAAAAACGUGGGAUAUAGUGUAAGACCUCCAAUUAUUCAUACAUAUCAAAGGAGGGGCAGAAAAGUAAUUGGACAAAUUAAUAAUGAGGAAGGAAAAAGAGGAGGAGAUCGUGCAGGUGGGGCCCAGGCACAGAAAUAAGAGAAAGAUGAGAGAAGGAAUAUAAAUAGGUUUUUUAGGUCUAGGGGAGGUAGGUUUUAUUUUUAUCCUGAAGUUGGCGGCUGCUUAGCCUAGAGGAAUAUCCAGUCUUUCCCUAGAGGAAGCUGGGUUUGUCUUAUUAUUCCUUGUUUUUCUUGAAUCUUUAUGUUUUUCUGUACUCAUUUUGGCUAUAUAUAAAUAAAGAUAGCAGAGGGCUACCUCUGUUUUUGGCCAUUGUAAGGGAGAAAUAGUGAAGUAAGCAAGUUGAAUCCUUACAUAUAGAAGACCAAGGCUUCCUCUUAGAAUUCCAGAAUUAUGAGAUGGAAGUAGAGAAUGAAUAUGAACUGGGGACAAGAUUAAAAGGAGAUGAGGAGGAAAUAUCUAUGAUCCGAUCCCUGCUCAAGUAUUAUGCGGAGAUAUUUGAGACACCGAAAAAUUACCUCCAAAAAGAGCUAUUGAUCACCGAAUAUUAACCCUACCUGACCAUAAACCUAUCAACGUAAGACCUUACAAAUACGGUCAUGUGCAGAAAGAAGAAUAAAAAAAAACUGGUGGUCGAGAUGCUUCAAGCAGGGGUAUUCGCCUAGUCAUAGCCCUUACUCCAGCCCGGUGUUGUUAGUGAAGAAAAAAAGAUGGUGGAUGGAGAUUUUGUGUCGAUUACCGCAAGUUAAAUCAGACGACAGUAUCGGAUAAGUUCCCAAUUCCUGUGAUAGAGGAAUUAUUAGAUGAGCUGAAUAGGGCAACGGUUUUCUCGAAAUUAGAUCUGAAAUCUGGUUAUCACCAGAUUAGAAUGAAAGAGGAAGAUGUGGAGAAAACUGUGUUCCGCACACAUGAAGGGCACUAUGAGUUUCUAGUAAUGCCGUUUGGUCUCCACGAAUGCUCUGGCAACCUUCCAAUCUUUGAUGAACCAAGGUAUUUAAACCUUUCCUUCGGCGCUGUGUUUUGGUGUUCUUUGAUGAUAUACUGGUUUAUAGUGCGGAUAUAGAUGAACACGCAAAGCAUUUGGGCAUGGUAUUCAAUGUUUUGAAGUAUAACCAGCUGUUUUGCUAACAAAAAAAAAUGCGUUAUAGCCCAUUCCAGUACAGUACUUGGGACAUAUGAUAUCCAAAAGAGGAGUUGAGGCAGAUGAGGAUAAGAUCAAGAAGAUGAUUAAUUGGCCACCACCAACGAAUAUAUCUGGUCUGCGGGGCUUCUUAGGACUGACAGGAUAUUAUAGGAGGUUUGUCAAGGGUUAUGGAGAGAUCGCUGCACCGCUAACCAAGUUAUUAUAGAAGAAUGCUUUUAAGUGGAAUGAAGAAGCAAAUACUGCCUUCGAAAAUUUGAAGCUAGCAAUGACUACUCUACCAGUGUUGGCAUUACCAGAUUGGAACAUUCCCUUUAUUAUCGAAACUGAUGCAUCUGGCGUAGGGUUAGGAGCGGUGAUCUCUCAAAAUGGCCACCCGAUUGCCUUUUUCAGUCAGAAGUUAUCCACAAGGGCUCAAAACAAAUCCAUCUAUGAAAGAGAGUUGAUGGCUGUAGUUCUAUCAGUUCAAAAAUGGAGGCAUUAUUUGCUGGGCAGGAAGUUCACCAUACUUUCAGAUCAAAAGGCUCUUAAAUUCUUGCUUGAACAGAGAGAGGUAAGCCCCAAUUCCAGAAAUGGUUGACAAAGCUCCUUGGAUAUGAUUUCGAGAUUUUAUAUCAACCGGACAUCAGAACAAGGCAGCGGAUAUCUAGAAUGGAGAACCGGUGGAGCUGCACAGCUUGACAACUACUGGAAUCAUUGAUGUGAAACUAAUCGAGCAGGAAGUUGAGAAUGAUGCUGAACUUAAGAAAAUUAUGGAAAAUCUGAAGAAAAAUGCAGAAGAAGGAAGCAAGUUUCAAGUUUUCUAUAAGGGAGAAUGGUAGUAUCUCAAACUUCUUUUAUACCCAAGAUCCUACAUACUUUCCACGAUUCUAUCCUCGGGGGACAUUCUGGAUUUUUAAGAACUUACAAGAGGAUCAGUGGAGAACUAUAUUGGAGGGUAUGAAGGCUGAAAUAAAGAAAUAUGUGGAACAAUGCGAGAUCUGCCAGAGAAACAAAUACGAAGCAACCAAACCAGCUGGGGUACUUCAACCAAUUCCAAUUCCUGACAGAAUCUUAGAAGAUUGGACCAUGGACUUUUAUUGAGGGGUUGCCACUAGCUGGAGGGGUUAAUGUGAUCAUGGUGGUAGUUGAUCGGCUGAGUAAGUAUUCUUACUUUAUAUCAUUGAGACAUCCGUUUUCAGCCAAGCAAGUUGCUUCCAUAUUCAUCGACAGAAUAGUAAGCAAGCACGGCAUUCCUAAGUCGAUUAUCACAGAUCGGGAUAAAAUCUUUCUUAGUAAUUUUUGGAAGGAACUGUUUGCAACCAUGGAACUAUUCUAAAGAGGAGUACCGCCGUUUCACCCACAAACUGAUGGGCAGACAGAAAGGGUAAAUAGAUGUCUCGAAACUUAUCUGCGAUGCUUCUGUAAUGAACAACCAAAAAAAUGGGAUAGACUGAUUCCAUGGGCAGAAUUGUGGUAUAAUACCACCUUCCAUGCAUCCACCAAAAUAACCCCUUUUCAGACGGUAUACCGCAGACCGCCUCCUCCCCUGUUAUCUAUGGUUACAAGAAAACUCCUAAUAAUGAGGUUGACACGCUGCUGAAGGAACGUGACUUAGCCAUCAAUGCCUUAAAAGAACACCUGUGUGUAGCCUAGAACAGGAUGAAGAAAAUGGCUGAUCGAAAUAGAAGAGAGUUAAAAUUUAAGGUAGGAGAUGAAGUCUACUUGAAAUUGAGACCUUACCGGCAACGCUCCUUGGCUCGGAAGAAGUGUGAAAAGUUAGCACCUAAAUAUUACGGAC